Molecule: ribosomal RNA, 253 nt
Filed under: uncultured bacterium
Lineage: Bacteria
Description: partial 16S ribosomal RNA
Rfam family: Bacterial small subunit ribosomal RNA
Source: RNAcentral
UACGUAGGUGACCAGCGUUGUCCGGAUUUACUGGGCGUAAAGAGCGCGCAGGCGGUCGUUCAAGUCGAGUGUGAAAGCCCCCGGCUCAACUGGGGAGGGUCACUUGAUACUGAUCGACUCGAAGGCAGGAGAGGGAAGCGGAAUUCCCGGUGUAGUGGUGAAAUGCGUAGAUAUCGGGAGGAACACCAGUGGCGAAGGCGGCUUCCUGGCCUGUUCUUGACGCUGAGGCGCGAAAGCAUGGGGAGCGAACCGG